UAUGCUUAGCCCUAAACCCUAGAUGCACCCUUACUUCCACAUCCGCCAGGGUACUACAAGCACAGCUUAAAACCCAAAGGACUUGGCGGUGCCUCAGACCCACCUAGAGGAGCCUGUUCUAGAACCGAUAACCCCCGUUAAACCUCACCACUUCUUGUUUUCCCCGCCUAUAUACCGCCGUCGUCAGCUUACCCUGUGAAGGCCCAACAGUAAGCAAAACGGGCUCGCCCAAAAACGUCAGGUCGAGGUGUAGCGCACGAAGUGGGAAGAAAUGGGCUACAUUGUCUGCAACAACAGAAUAUUUACGGACGGCACUAUGAAAUUAGUACCCAAAGGUGGAUUUAGUAGUAAAAAACAAAUAGAGAGUCUUUUUGAAUCAGGCUCUGAAGCGC
RNAcentral lists this ribosomal RNA (392 nucleotides) under Cryptarius truncatus. RNAcentral's name for it is "partial 12S ribosomal RNA". It matches the Rfam family "Bacterial small subunit ribosomal RNA", at positions 791 to 1382 of the family's 1533-position model. The record is from RNAcentral. Lineage: Eukaryota; Metazoa; Chordata; Actinopteri; Siluriformes; Ariidae.